Molecule: long non-coding RNA, 2857 nt
Filed under: Homo sapiens (human)
Lineage: Eukaryota; Metazoa; Chordata; Mammalia; Primates; Hominidae
Description: LIFR antisense RNA 1
Source: RNAcentral
GACGGCUCUGCGGGGAGGACCGCGCCUCCCCGAAUGCGGCCGCUGCUGCCGCUGCAAACAGUGCCUUGAGGAGAGGAAAGCGGGGAACCGUGUUUUCGCCGCCUCUGUAACCACUGCACACAAGAAAACCAGCUUCUGGGAGAGGGGGAUGAUUGUUGGGACUUUGCGAAUUACCUAAACAGCCCAGGGCCGAGGCGCCGCCGCUCGCGUCCUGGUCCUCCUGCCGGGUGUGGGGCUCCCCUGCCCGAGAUGGCCAGCGGGCGCGCCGAGAGUAUCCUGGAGCCAUCUAGUCUUGCCUCGGAGGCGGGGUGGGCUUAUUUGUGCGGAGAAGAAACGGAUCUCUUAAUGGGGUGAGAUUUUUCCUCCGUACAUUGUUCCCAUUUCCGCAGUUUCACUUGGCCUCGGUUUUCUAGCAGAGUAAUCACCAAAUGAAAUUAGCUGGAGAGCGUUUGAUGGCGCAGAAUCACGGUCUGAAGAUGUUUACGCUGUAUGCCGGACGCGUUUGAUGGUGUUCUCUUCGGCACAAUUAAUUUUGCAAAGUUCAGAAAUGUGCCAGACAGAGCCCCUGGCACGCAGUCAGGACUCUACAGACACACCUUGAGUAGGAAACAGGCUUGUUUGUUUCAUCUGUGAUUUAUGUGAUGCACCAGCACCAAGGCCAACGUGUUUUUUAAAGACCUUUCGAUGAAACUCCAAAGCAAUUUAUAAAUUGGCAAAAUGAAGCUUGUUUUGUAAAAUAACUCUUCCUUGUUGAUCAUGUAAUUAAAUGGGCAACAAAACACCUGAAAGGACAUUUACUGAAAAGUAGACUCCCAAAACAAAAAUAUGUAUUUCACAGCUAGAUACGGUCGCUAUUAGCGUCCUAAUGGCCAACUCCAUCCAUGUGCGUAUUUUGAACACUAAAAACGCCUCCUGUUACCCCUAAGACCUUGUUUGGAUAACAUUUUUCUAUUAUAAGUACUCGAAACCAACCCCAUUUAAGAUGUUUACCCUUAUUCUUGAGUCCUUGAUGGUUUGGGAAAUUUAUCAUUAUUCAUAUUGCACAAUCCUGUCACUGUCUUUUCCAUUAGGCACAGUGCCUAAGGUCCACAAUAUUUUUAGAGGCCCACAAAAAAUAUUUUAAUUUCUUUUCAAAUCAGAAGGAAAAAAAAUUUAGGUUUAAGAAAGUAUUUUAAUAUAUAUUAAUAUAUUUGUUUUUGUGCUAAUACAAUCUUAAAAUGUAUGUAUAUAUGUGUGUGUGUAUAUGUAUAUAUAUUUUAAUGGAGUAAGGGGCUCAACGAAGGCAAAAAGGCCUAGAGCCCAAGAAAAACAUGAUGUGGCCCUGUUGCCUGGGGUUGAAAAAUCCCAUUCCAUGAGAAGAAUUUAGUUUUAAGAAUAUUACAUAAAAUGCUCAUUUCUGUGGCCUUGCUAUAAUAGAAAGAUGGAGAUUCAGAGUAGUGAUAAUGGCUAACAUCCACCUGAUACACACCAUGUGUCCAUUACCUCUUAAUCCUCACAGCACACCUGUGAAAUAGGUACUAUUCUCACACUUAGGGGGUAAUGCAGGUUUUGUGGGGCCUGCAAUUUAUGCAAUUUGGGUGGUCCUCUUAAAGAAAAAGCAAAUACUGUGUAUUAGUCCGUUCUCACACUGCUAUAAAGAACUGCGCGAGACUGGGUAAUUUAUAAAGGAAAGAGGUUUAAUUGACUCACAGUUCCACAUGGCUGGGGAGACCUCAGGAAACUUAACAAUCGUGGUGGAAGGAGAAGCAAGUACCUUCUUCACAAGGAAGCGGAAAGAAUUGUGAGCGGAGGAACUUGCCAAACACAAAACCGUCAGAUCGCGUGAGAAUUCAGUUACUAUCACGAGAACAACACGGGAAAACUGUCCCCAUAAUCAAGUCAUUUCUCUCCCUAACAAGUGAGGAUUACAAUUCAAGAUGAGGUUUGGGUAGGAACACAAAGCCUGACCCUAUCCCACAGCAUGUCCAGGCUGCCCUAGCACCACCCAAUAGAAGGGAAAAUGGCAGAGGGAAAGUCCUAGUGGAAAGAGACCUCAGUCUCAGCUAAUUGUGGUGACAAUAUAUUGCUUUUGCAAAUUGUACAUAAACAUAUGACCAGGUGAAUGUAUCGCCAAGGCUCCUGCCAAGGCCUGGGAUGGAGGCCUAGAGAAGAUGCCCGAAAGUUUAUGCUGUGUGAGCUUCACAGAAGACCUGCCUUCCAUGUAUACCCAUUUUACAGGUGUCUGUGCGGUGCAGAAACUGUACAACUGUAUACAGUGACCAUUUCUACUCUGGGUCUCUAAACAAGGGCUGGUAUCGUUACAGAGACUGAAGACUGAGGAAGACCAUCUCUGUAGGAUGCCAAGGAUUGACUGGAGAAAGUCUGGGUUGGAGAAGAAUGAAGUGCACAUCAACCAAACAGAAGAGAAGCAAUUUGGAGGAGGAAAAAAUCAGUUCUUCAUGAAAGGAUCACAUUGAUCUUGAUCAGGAAUUUAGGAGCAGCUUACCUAAUGGCACCUGGUUACCUAAUGGCACCCUCAACAGCUUACCUAAUGGCACCCUCACUUGGUUCUGGCUCCGGGCCUCUCACAAGAUUGUACACAUGAUGAUGGCCAAGUUUGCAGUCAUCUGAAGUCUUGACUGGAGCUGGAGACUACAUUUCCAAGAUGGCUCACUCAUAUUGCUAGUAAGUUGGUGGUGUCUGUUGGCAAGAAACCCCAAUUCCUGGUCAUAUGAAUCUUUCCAUAGGGCUGUGAUGAGAGUCCUCAUAACAGGGCAGCUGGUUUACCCCUAAGCAAAUAAUCCAAGAGAGAGAAACGCAGAAGCCACAAUGUCUUUUGUGACCCAACCUUGGGAGCCACAUACCAUCAUUUCUACAA